Molecule: long non-coding RNA, 12700 nt
Organism: Columba livia (rock pigeon)
Lineage: Eukaryota; Metazoa; Chordata; Aves; Columbiformes; Columbidae
Exons: 2
Source: RefSeq, a predicted model, not a curated record
CUGCCCCGGUGUCCGUCCCCACGGAGCUCUGCACAGAGCGGCGUCCCCGCAGGUGCCGGUAGCCCGCGGGCCUGGGCGCGGGAGCGGGCAGAAGGUGUUUCCUGAGCGGCGGGCGUGAGCUGUGCCUGGCAGGGGCUGCUGGACCGCAGCCCGGGACCUGCCGCGGCACGACGGGCACACGGGAUCCGCGACUCCUUUUGUUUCCAUUACAGCUCUUUUGAAGUUGUUACUCUUUUAGAAAGCACCUUAGUCUGUCUUUUCUUCAAACAGAGCUUUGCCCAGGGCUAUGCAAGGCCCUGAUACUGGUUUUGAGGCACUCCCUUUAGGAUCUCAAAGCUCAGGAGGAUGAGGGGCCUGGUCCAGUGGUGUUUUUCAGCUGGGAUUGGGUGUCUGCACCGGUCGCAGCCCACUGCUCAUGCUGGGCUGGAACAGUUUCCCUGACGUGUGCAGAGAACGAGCUUUGGGAAGAGCGAUUGCAGCCGCGCGGCUGCGCCCCUGCACGUGGGGGCUCAGCACCACCGGCCCAAGCCCCUGGUGCUCCGGGCAGCGUGCGGCUGAGUGACACGGCAGCCUGUGCCGGACGGGUGCGAGCAGAGCUGGUCUCAGCAGCCCCCAUCCGCUCCUGCGGCAAAGGGCGACAUCACUUUCUUGUUCCUCCAUAGACUCUUUAAAGUUGUCGCUUUUUGAAUUAUUCCCACAAGGCUAAGCCGACACCUCCUUUUCUGAUGCUUUCUGAGCAGCACUAUGAUCUUAGCAUCCUUUCUUCUGUCAGCUGAUGGAGCAAACCUUGCCUACAUUGUGCUUCCAUAUAAAAAAUAGGGAGUCUUAUGAUUUUGAGACUGAUGUAGAGGACUCAAGAGAAGGGUGGACAGAAGACAGGAUGCCCAUUCAUGAGAAGAAAUAGAGAAAAAAGAUGGGACGUUGCUCAAAACAGCCUUCAGGGCAGUGGCGAAACACUGGAAAACAUGUGAACGACAGGGAAAACGUCUGUGGGAUUCAUCUGUUUGUUUUAACUUCCCCAGGGUAGUUUCUUUCCCAUCACGGGCUUUUGUGUAUAUUUAGGUGCAAUAUUGUUACAAACAAAACAUAAGCUGGAGAGGAGAAACAUUAUGUCGGAGGAUGGAAACUGACACUGUCAACACUUGGUUCAGCUCCCCUGGAAAUCCGUCACCCAGCUGGUGCUUUUUGGAUGUGACCAGUCUGAAGGUGGGUGUACCGCUGGGACGUGGCCGCUUGCUGCUCUGGCUGACCACUGCAAUUCGUCCGUCAAGACCUAUUUUUAGUCAUGUGAAUAACGAAGAAUUUUUGGAGUGGAUCCUGAAACGCCCUGAGACCCACCAGGAAUGCGAGUGGCGCUUGGUGGAGCUCACCCGCAAGUGCUUUGUUUGUUCAUUUGCACAGAGCCUUUUUAUCCCGGUGUCGUGGUGACUCACAUUUCCUCUGCCCACGGCUUCCUCGUGAACAAUGCUGCAGCAAUGAGGUCCUCUGCUGCCAACUUAGCACUCAGCACAGGCCCGGGAAGCUCAGCCUUUCUGUGGAUCGUGCUCCGGGGCUGCGAGCACGCGGGCCUGUGCCAAGGCGGCUCUGCCAGGCUGGCUGCUGGGAUCUGUCACUGAGUGGCUGGGACACAAUUGCUCCGUUUCCUCUGCCCAUCUGCGCUAUCGCUUCUGGGAACCCGGGACAGGCGCAGUGAUCCAGCUGGGCUGCAUUAGGAACUCCAGAUGCUACAAGAAAACUUUGUCAACAUGGUUCUUUAUUAGGAGUGCUCUGGUAAGUGUACAGCAGUGUUACUGGGAACACACUGAAACUCGUUGUUCUGUUUAAUGAUGAUGGCUGUUGCGUUUCUUGAUGGCUCUGAUUCAAAACCAGUUAUUCAUUAUAGUAUCUCAACUCUGUGUUCCACGGAAGCUCUCCUAUAGAUGAGACCUGCUAAAUUUUCGUGUUUCUUUAACAUGAAACUUCCGUUGAGAAAUAAGGUGCUAAGCGAGCUUUGGAUCCACAAGGACAGACCUGCCAAAGUUCCUUCCAAGUUACUGCAGGUUGGUCAGUAACGUUUUAAUUGGCAGUGAUUAGAGCAAUUGGUUUUUCUCACCUGCAAAGUCUGUUCCAUACCCCAUUGACAUAUUCUGGAAUAAAGCAAAUAUAGAUGUAAAAGAAAAACCCCUGCAUUUUAGCAAACAGACAAAGGUGUCAGCUGAAGCAGUGAAGUGCAGCUGUAGAAGAAAAAUAAAUGGGCAAUGUUGGUAAUGCUAAUCUCAUGAAGAAUUACAAGACCUCCAUUAAUGCCAGGACCUCGGUGGGACACAUUCCAGCUGAAAAAUAGACUGGGCUCUUCCAGGCCUUUGGGUGUUCAGCGGGGGAUCUGAGACACGUGCUACUCAUUUUGUUGUGAAAAAUAUUGGGGACACUUUCCUCAUCAGUCUCUGUGCAAAUAAUGGCCUUGUGACAGCCAACACCUUUGUUAUCAACGGGAGCAAUUCCUGAAUCCGAGCCAGCGGACAAAAAUUCAAAAAAUGGACAAAGUCCACAGUAGAAGUUGCUAUUAGUUUUACCAGCUUAAUAAUUAGCUAAUUAGCUAAUAAUUACUCCACUGGCAAACGUCUCUCCUGUACUGGAUUGUUUAAGGACGGCGAUGACCCUAACCUAGUCUAAAGGCGGGUUACCGGUUUCCAGCGGCGCGUUCGGGAGGCGGGAGCCCUGGGGCGGCCCUGGCCGCGCUGUCACCCGCCCCUCUCCCUGCACGCCGCGCUCUUCCCACACCUCCGCCGUUUUCCAAACAAAGGCAUUUGGUUUCGAUGAGAGAGAACCACAAUGCUUUGCGCUUUAAUGGGACUGUGGAGUGAACCCAAUUAACUGGUGCAGUCCUAAUAGCUCAGGACGGGACUAAUUGUCCCCAGCCUGUGGCCCUGGCCGUGCAGCAGCAGCAGCGCGUGGGGACACCAGCUCCGCUGACCCCGUGCGGGGGCACUGGGGACACGUCCCAGAGCAAAGACACCGCCUGGUGUGCCAGGAGCUCCGGGCAGAGCCGCCUGCAGCCGGGGUUUGACAGUGAGCUCAGACCCUUGAGUCAGGUCACAAAGGGAAGAAAAUGAACAGUUUUGUUGCUUUUAACUUUCACUAGAGGAGGAAAAAUUCAUGUGCAGUAAUGCUGGGUUUAGACCUCGGAUUUUUUUUUUUUCAAGUAUUAUAUAGAAAAUAAAUAAGGCUUUUUUCUGCGGCAUUAUGUGGUAUGGCACGGACUGUCUGCACAUUAAAAAGACAGUUCCAUAUUAAAAUAAGUUAUUUAGCAGCAAACUUGCUUUACCUGUGUUACUCAGAAUGGUGGGUGUUUCUGUUGUGCUGCAUAACAACAUCAUUCUUCACUGAGCGAUUGUAAGACCAUAUCUUUUAUUUCCAAGCAAGAAAACCCCCUGUUUUCAUGGAACCUGUUUCACAGAGGUCUCGCUGGGGUUCCACAUCACAUCACGCUUCAGAACACUCCUAAACCCCGUUGGAUGCUGUAGAGCACUGAGCCACAACCCGGGCACGCAGGCCGGUGGCCAGGCUGGCCGGCGUUACCACUCGUGCGAAACAGAGACGUUCGCCGCGUCCCUGCCGGCGGGUCUGCUCCUGCCCCCGCCAGCCCCGGGACCCCGGCAGGACCACGGUGUGGAGGAUCAGAGUGAGAUGGCAGUGAGAUGUGCCCACGCUCCCGUCCGGACCGAGGAGCGCUGCCGAGAGCCGCCGUUUACUGCGUGAGCUGCAGGGAGACACGUGGGAGCAAGGGGCACUUACAGCCAGCACGAGUCCACGGGUGACUCCUCGUCUGGGUAAGCACAGCUCUCUGGUUACAAAGGGCUUUUCACGCUGCAAGGUGUCAGAACACAUGCAGACACACGUCUUGGUCGCGGUCCUGAGCCUGUCAGGAGCAGCAGUCUGCGCUUGCUUGUUGAUCCUCUGGUAGGAGGGCACAUCUCCCUUUCAAAACUGAAAAAAGUGACAGAGAACCAAUGGGAGAGAGAGUGGGUUCUAAACAAACCAACCAACCAACCAACCAAGAGAUAAACCAGACAUUUUAUUGAGCUGUUGUCAGCCCCCAGAAGACAUCAGUGAAUCAAAUCUCCUUGUAUUACCACCAUAGGGAAAUUUUAACAGAGCCCAUAUUAAAGCAAGGGUAUCCAGCGGAAGGUUGCAUAUAACGAUGGCGAGCUUCCGAACUUUGCCAGACUUUUACAAAUCCGGGAAGUUCUGGCAAUCACCUCGAGGAAAUGACAAUUUGUUAAGGCAGCCGAACACCAGCAGACUGGAGAUGCGUCUGUGGCUUUGUCCCCGCUGCCCCUGCAGCCACGCAGAGCCCGCGGGAGCCCCGGCUCGCGCCCUGCUGCAAUGACGAGUAGCAAGAACAGGCUCCGGCUUAUUUGCUCCAGAGCAAUGAGUUCCAGCAGCUCUCUGGGAGUGCGUUGGGAUACACAUGCAAACUGCAUUAUUUAAUUUCAUUGAUUUUUUUCCAGUAUAAAAAGAACAUUUGAAUGAGAAGAUGUUUCAUUGAAUUACUCACCUUAACAAGGUUGUAUCUGGGUUUGUGGUUUGUGUUGUUUUAACAAGAGACCUCUUGUUUACAGAAACCCUCCAGAUAGUUGCGUUAUGGAAAUGCCAUUUGCGGCAGCAUGAAUUCCAGGUUUUUCCAGACAGUAAAAAACCCCAACUCAGUGGUAAUCUCAGGUUUACGCUGUUAUUUCCUUGUAACGCAAGCUGAAAGGCUGGGAUGGCUGCCUCCACCGUGCUGGCUCCAUUCACAUCUCCGCUUAUGCUUCUUUAUUAGUGCAAACAAAACAAAGGUUCCUAUGAUAAGGCCCACGGGAGAAAGCCUGUUAAACGCAUUUCUGGCAGGCGAAUCAGAGACGACAUCUGAGUCUUGGGUGCUUGCUCUCUGACGAGAUUUUUCUAAUUCAGCUUCCUCCCGGAGCGCAUCCUCGCGCAGAGGAACCUGUGCGGAGGAACCCACGCGGAGGAACCCGUGUGGACCCUCGUGCGGAGGAACCCGUGUGGACCCUCGUGCGAGGAACUCGUGUGGACCCUCGUGCGGAGGAACCCGUGUGGACCCUCGUGCGAGGAACCCGUGCGGCCGCGCGCGGGGAGCAGCACCAGCGCUGGCCCAGGGAGCGCUCACCGGAGCACCGGCUCCUGUUCUGCAUAGGAAGGAUGAAUCUCAUUUUCCUUUCAGUGUCUUUCGAGGCUGAAGCCUUUGCAAUCACAGAGGCUGAGCCAGUACCAAAUGGACAGGAAUAAGGAAACAGGUGCCCACGUCUGAGGCAAUUGCUGAGCCAUGUUAUCAGAUGCUCAGUUCUGUUGAGCAUGGGAGAGUGAAAAGGUUUGCAAAUGAACUCUUUUAUCCACUGCCAGCUUUUCCUGCCUCCCACCUUUUGGUUUUAAAAAUUGCGGAUCUGUUCCUACCAGAGUUACAACGCAGGUCCCACCUCGUGCAAACUGAGCCCUGGUCAGCAGCUGCCGAGCAGUCGCUGCUGCCCAGCAGGUCAGCUCCAGGACAGACAGACGGACAUGCCACCAAGGACACAGUUCUUGACGGCUGAUAAGAAACAACAUAUUAUUGAAACUGAAAACAAUUUAGACUUUAAAGAAAUGUCAAUUAACAAUUUUGAAACAUGCCAAUAUAGAGUUUUGCUAGGAAAUGACAUGAGACAUUGUGGAGGGAAAGCCCGGAGCUGGUGACAAGGACCCGCACACACCAGCAGCACAGGUACCCGCGGGCCAGCACCCCCAUGUCCCCGGGCACGGCGGGGACUCGCUGGGCGGCAGCGCGGCCGGGCAGAGCUGCGGCAUCUCUAAUGGCAGAGCGAGCGGCUGAGAUGAGCUGGGUACCAGUGUAAGGAUGCUAUUCAUGUUAUUCAUCUUGAACAAAUUACAAAUAAAUAAAAAGGAGUCAAUACAGUGUUCCUAUAUGCAUAAACAGCCAUCUGCUUUAAAACGGUGUGCACCAGUUGGCCUGUGCAUAAUCCAUGUAGGUUCCCUUAUUUGCUUAGGCUGUGAAAAAUUCUGUGCACCGCUACAGAAUUCUCUUAGUAUUUGCUGAUUGUUCAAUGACAGAUUCACUCAACAGCCCUCACUGGAGCCGACACGUGGGCAGGUCCAUCCCUGCAGAGUUCUGAAAGCCUGACUGGACGCGGUCCUGAUCAAGCCCGUCCGUCACGGGCAGCCCUCGCUUUGGGCAGGAGGUUGGCCUGGCUGGCGCCCAGCUCGGUUUUCCCGCAGCAGGGCGCUGCGCCGCCGCCGGGCGGAGGGCUCAGCUUUCCGCCACGAUGGGCUGAACGCUGGAGAUGUCUGUCCUUGCAGAGUUCCUCUGGGAGGAUGCUCUUGCCCUGCGGCAGGCGCCCUCGGCCCAGGCGUGGCGGGACGGGGGCGACAGGGGCCGCAGGGCGUGGCCCGGGGCCGCGCGGCGCCGCCGGCACGCGCACAGCAGCGACGUGAGCUCCGCCCUGAAGCUCUCGUUCAGCCAGCAGUAGAUGAACGGGUUGUAGCAGGUGCUGCUCAUGGCGAACCAGUGGAAGGCGAAGUAGAGAGCGUUGCUGCUGUGGAUGGCCCUGCAGGAGAUGAGCACCACGUAGCAGUUGAGGGGGAACCAGCACACUGCAAACACCACCACCACCACCAUCAGCAUCUUCAGCGUCAUCUUCUUCUUCCGUUGAUGGGCGUAGUAUUGCUCCAUGGUGAGGUCCCCGAUGGCGUUCCUCAGCCAGAGCUUCUUGGCCACGAUGGUGUAUGUGAUGGAGAUGACAAGCAAGGGCAGGACGUACAAGAGGACAAAAGUAGUCAAAUCCAAAUACUUCCAGAAAAGAUCGGCAGGAGGAGGGAAGCUGGGGAGGCAGACCAUCCGUAUCGUCCUGUUCCUGAGGAUCAAAGAGAGAAAGAACUGCCAGCUCCGCCACCAGAUGCACGCAGCACCUAGAGGACAACAUCGCAGGCGCUCUUACAAGCUCCAGCAGAGACACAGACAGCAGAAGCCGUUCAGCAGCAUGGGGAAGUGCCACAUGCAAUGGAAUAUUUUGCUUCAGGUUUAACCUUUGGCCACCAUGAAGAUAUUUUCAAUACACCCCCAGGAACAGAAAAAGAAAAUCCACAGUGACCUGUCUCUGAUGAGGAAAAGCACCUCUCUUCUGUACCUACCUCAGAUUCCAGGGCUGAUCUCUGAGCCAGAAUCAACUAACAAACAAGCCUGAAAGCAAUUCCGCUGAUCUUCAUUGUCCCCUCAUGAGAAACACAUCACCUACGCACGAGAAGGAAGACUUCUCUGUUACACCACACUUCCUUUUUUAAUAACACAGAUGGAAAGACGUGUUGGAAAGCACACUGCCUUUGAACCUGUGGGGCUUUGGUUAGGCCGCAUAUGUCGUAUGUAAAACCAAACCAACCAAACAAAACCCGCCAUGCCAACGUCUUACCCGACAUAAAAUCUUGUCAGAGUCUGGUAAAUGGCGUGAGGCAGGGAGAAGCAGCUGGCCAGCACCCAGAUGAUGAUGAUGCAGAUCCCUCCUUUCACCAUGGACAUGCGCGGCUUCAGAGGGUGCAUGAUAACCUGCAGAGAACAACGCGUCCUGCGGUUCACAACGCGCUCGGUGUCACCCGCCAGCUCGCUGGGGCUGGCUGUCUGCUGAGCCACCCGCACUACGGGUGAUUACAUCAACCAAUGAAACAGUAAUUAAAAACAGACCUAUCAUGUCAUCCAAAUGAUCCCUUGGCUGAUGAAGCCUUCGGUAUUUUAUGCACAUCUUUUGUAGUCUCAUCAUAAAUAUCUACUUAACAGAGCUUCUGGAGCUCUCCUGGAGCACCGUCUGUCCUGGCGCCUCCCGGGACCAGCGGCACUUUUAAAGACAAGGGUUGAUUUCUCGUUGUGCAGCGACACCUCCUUACUCUGUUUGUACCUCCCUGGGCUGUCCCAGCUAACGCCAGUUCUGAGGAACCUAUUCCACGCCAUUUAAAGGCAGGAGUCGUGUUUGCUCUGAAUUAAACAAACACUUCCUGAUACCUAGCCAUGCCUUGAAAUUAACCCAGAAUCUGCUGAUUUAAAUUCAUUCUUAUCAAAAUGCUUUGCUCUCAUAAAUCGCUAUGCUUCACAUAGAAUGGGCAGACUAGCAACCUUUUUGUGGGAAAAAAACGAAAACAAAACGAAACUAAAACAACAACUCCAACAAAAACCCAACAGAAAUGUGUGAUCUAUACUCUGGCAGUCACUGCGGUUUUCUGACACCAGAUGGAGCACAUCCCAGAUGAUCAGACUGGAUUCCACUGUUGUUCUGAACUUCAUCUACCACGUCUUUUAUCAUGUAAAUUGCUUUCCAGUAAGGAGCAUUUAUGUGACUGCAGCACUGCAGGAGAAGCGCGCGGUCUGCCUGCGAGCACACGGUGCGGAGCUGCUGCCGGCACGCGGGUCUGUCGGCUCCAGCAAAAACCACACGCUGAAUUAUACCUCAGUUAAACACUUUGGUUCGCACUCAUUGCUUGACCUGUAAAGUUUUCCUGGUUGCUAUUUGCCAAAAAAAGUGUUGGCAAAAAAGACAACAACCUAUGUAGGUAGCUCGUUAUUCUCCAGCAAGCGCGGGGCGGUGUCGGCGGCGUACCUGGUGCCGAUCCAGAGCGAUGGCGGCGAGGGUCAGCACCGACACGUGGACGGAGCAGUACUGGACAAACCGGCUUACGUGACACAUCAGCUUUCCAAAAACCCAGGUGCUGCUUACAAACCGCACCUGAAGAACAGACAGAACAGCAUUAAAACCGCGGGCGUUAUCCGAAGGGGAGCAAACAGGGCUUCCCAGGAGCAUGGUAAAGAAAUGCUUUAAUAUCGUUUCCUUAUGCUUUGUAGGCGCAUUAUACUCAGUUUUUCUAGGGAAGUAGUGACUACACAAGAGGCUCUGAAACAGAGGUGAAAUUUACUAAACUGGGCAAACAAAUCCACUUGAGUGGUGCUCUGUGUGUGUGUUUGAGUGGACAUGGGUACACGUAAGACGGAAAAUGUAAAUAAAUCUUAGCUCAGUUUCUUGAUGAGGCUCUGCAGGGAAAAACAGCGGUUUGCCUCCUUAGAAACAGUGGCACGUUGGAAUUUGUGGAUGCUGAAAGCUGCGUGGGUUCAAAACUUAGUGAGACAAAGCAGUGGAAGAAGAAAUCAUUGAGGACACUGAGAUAGUGAGGUGACACCUCUGAGCACGGGGCUGCCUGUCCAUGGAGCACCCCCGCCAAGCACCCCCACUGAUCACCCCCGCCGAGCAUCCCUGCGAGCACCCCCGCCAAGCACCCCCACUGAUCACCCCCGCCGAGCAUCCCUGCGAGCACCCCCGCCGAGCACCCCCGCUGAUCACCCCCACUGAUCACCCCCGCCAAGCACCCCCGCCAAGCACCCCCGCCGAGCUGCCGUGCCCGUGCCCCCCGGCUCCGCAGCCACCGGCCGUGCUCGGGAAAGGGCACAGGGCUGGUGGCAGUGUCGCACAUGGAUCUUCUCAUGUCACAUCAGGUGAGACACACCAGCAGCAAUUCCAGAGGUGACAAUUCAGCUACACAGCCAGAGAGGAUCAUUUUCCCCUCCCGCUGACAAAGCGACUCGCGCACACGAGCUGGGCUGUCCCCUCUCCAUCCGAGCUCCACAGGGACCGGAGCUGCUGCCCCUGACACCAGCGGCUCCGGGGGGGCAGGACCACGGUGCCCCCAACCUGGCUUUUCACGUGGGUUCCCCCAGAGCUGCUGCUGACGCGGCGUUUCUGCAGAGGAGAUUAUUCCACAUAACAGUUGUUCUCUCAGUCCCUUCUUAUUCCUGACUGUGCAAUGUUUAUUUCAAAUUAAUGUAACUCAUUCUGGAAGCAGAUUAAGUUAAUUUGAAAUAAAGCACAUUUACUACAAAACAUCUGUACACACAGAAAAUGAGUCAAGACUACCUAAUUUGUUUUCAGUUUAUCUAAUUAAUUUCCCUAUAGAGACAAGUCGAGUAGUAAUGACUCUGUCAAUGAACUGUAGCAAUGUGCUGUUCCUUUGAAGUCCAUGACAAGCUCUUUCCUGAGAGGGACACAGUUAUUUAAUCAGCAGCGCCUAAGGAGCGACUGGUCGUGCAGACACACAAGAGGGCACUCUCCUCGCCUUGGACACAGCAAGGCAGAGAAAUCCCACCAAGAAACUGGUAAUUCAGGAACAGCUUUCGGAAGGCAGAGGACAGUGCGGAGGGUGCCCGACUGCAGCUCGGCCGGGAGGCCCAGGGACAGGGGGAGAGCCGAAAAGAAACUGCACGUCAGCCUGUUCCCGGCCCGUUCCACACAGACGUACACGGCUCUGACAGACACACAGACAGCAGCGACACACGGACACAGCGACACGGCUGCGGCGGGGGCUCACCAGCGUGAAGGGGGUGUUCAGGAUCGUGAUCAUCACAUCAGCCACGGCCAGGUUGACGAUGAAGAGGCUGGUGGCCGAGUGCAUCCUCUUGUUCUUGAUCACCACGUGGCACACCAGCGUGUUGCCGAAGAGCGAGAUGCAGAUGAUGAUGGAAUAGGCCACGAUCAGCAGCGCCUGCACUGUCCGGCUCUGCGACUCGCCCUCGUACCUGGUCCCGCUGCCAAAGUCCCCCAGGUCCUCCAGGUCCAAGUCGCUGUGCAAGAAGGACUGGUUAGGGAAACUGUACAGAGCAGAGAAGAAGUUGGUGGUGUUGUGGUUCUCCGGUCUCCAGAAGGGCUUGGAGAUGUAGUGCAGAGGGAACCAGGCGUGCCGGCCCAUGGCUCGGCAGGCUGCGUCCCCCGCUCCUCCCGGCAGCUCAGGUGCUGAACGCGGUGCUCGCAGUGCGGAAUACACACGCUUGCAUUUUACAAACCUGCCCCGCGGCUGCAAACUACAGGAGAGAGCUGACGAACGGGACCCCUUCCUGUGCUGAUCCCACGCGCGCUUUGCUCCAGGGGCGCCCCAGCUGCUGCUCUUUCAGCCCCACGUGUCCCACGUACAGAAGGUGAUUCAGAUGCUGAAAUGUCAGAGAUUCCCAAACACUUUCUCUCUGCACCUAGGAAGAAACCCUAGAGAAUAUUUCCCUUCAGGCACUGUUCUGCUUCUCUCCCACAACUUCUCCUUGGAAAUCUGUUUCAUCGGUUUUCCAUAUAAUCCUUCAUCCGUCAAGUGUCUGUUUCCCAAGAAUUUUCAGAGCUUGUCACAAUCAGAAAAGCCAGGGCUGCCUUUCCCUUCUGUUUCCAUCCUCAAAGUGUCUGUGAGCUAUGGACUGAAGCAGCUUUGCUGGGAGGCUGAGCAGUCCCUGCUUUCCCUGUGAUAUAUGCAGCCUGCCAGAUGACACACCGCAUAGGAAAUAGCCAAUAGUGUAUCUCUUCCCGGUUUAUCCUGAGGUGCAUUGCAACCCCGCACAGACGAUGUGUCUGACACGUGCAGAUCUAGCAGAGUGGCAAAAUACAGAGAGUGAUGUGCCUGAUCGUCUCCGUCUCCUCUCCCCUCCUGGUCCCCAGCACAACAGCCACGGGGGUGAAGCAUCUUUCCUGAUUUGAAGCAUCCUCCUUUUUCUCCCUUCCAGAGUUUCAGCAGACAGAGAACAUCCAAGAAUUUCUGCCUCCAGAGAGCUUUGUGUCCGACACCAUCCCCUCCUCGCUCUCCAGAGUAAAAAGUGAAACACAACCUGAAAAUGAGAGCAGAAGUUUCAGGGUGCUGCUGGGUGCCAGGGACACCCACGCUACAGCUCAGCCCUGUGUGCUCUGAGCUGGGGGAAGAGCAGGAGCGGGGAGCAGCAACACGGUGGAAAUCUCCUCUCUGCUCUGCUCUGCUCCGCUCUCCUCGGCGGAGCAGCCUCAGGCGCAGGAGCUCAGGGCAGGAGCGCUCCCGCGCUGCUGCGCGCAGUGAGCCCCGCGCCCAGGUGGCUUCUGUCCGCAGAGAUGUCAGCAGGCCCUGCGCCCUCCUCAGCACCCCAGACCCCGCGCAGGGCUGAGCCAGGCACAGGCCAGCGAGCAGACACGUUGUCUUUUGCUUCCUGGUUUCUGUUGUGUGAGGAUACUCUGGACUUUAUGCGGAGGACAGUAGGUCACAAAUGCAUCACGUUCGACCACAAAGGUGGCAGUUGUGGCACACACGAGAACAGCAGCAGAGCUCCUGCUGCCAAAGGAGAACCAGCAGCAUUUCCCUGCGCGCCUUCAGGAGACGCCAGCUGUCACAAACCACAGCUGAUGGCUCGGCAGGGACCACAUGUCUGCGUGUGGAUACACGGGGGAGCCAGGGCAGGGGCUGCCAGACACGCCGGUGGCACCGCCAGCUCCUCACCGUGCGCUCCACGAGCUCCCGCCCGCGUUCCUCCUCAUUUCUCCAUCGUGUGUUAGAAGGACGACCUGGCAGAGCAGCGUUUGGAUGCAGAAACCCGUCUGCUGUGCCAUGCCCUGUGUGCCAAAGCUGCUACAGGUUUCCCUGCAGAACCGAUUUGUUCUGUCCAAGGGUCAAACGCUCCAGCAAUCACCUGCUGGUUUGCUGCAGUUGUUAUCCACCCACAAACAUUGUGAGCUGCCCCCGGCGCUCGCCACGCACCAGAACGUCUGUGCUGGCUCCUCUCAGUCAAACCCAGGCUGCAAGGGAGAAAUGGACUUUUUGCAAACAUACCCAUUUGAAUUGCGCAGGUCAAACUUGGUUUUAAUAGAAAAUUUGUGGCUCUCUCACUUUGACACUACUUGAGUAAAAAAUUUUUGGAACUUCA